AUAUAAGCAAAAUUGACUUUUUAGGUUCAUUCAUUUAAUGAUGUAUGUGGUUCAUAAUAUGGACCACAUGCAUCAUUAAAUGAAUGAACCUAAAAAGUAGAUUUUGCUUAUAU
MicroRNA precursor from Medicago truncatula (barrel medic), 113 nucleotides. It matches the Rfam family "MIR2593 microRNA precursor family". The record is from Rfam. NCBI's taxonomy places the organism in Eukaryota, Viridiplantae, Streptophyta, Magnoliopsida, Fabales, Fabaceae.